AAGACUAUAGACCUGCGGAGUACCUGCGGAAGGAUCAUUACAGAGUUGCAAAACUCCCAAACCAUUGUGAACGUUACCUUCUCGUUGCUUCGGCGGGCGGCCCGGGUCCUUCCCGGCGCCCCCCGGCCCCUCGCGGGCGCCCGCCGGAGGUAAACCAAACUCUUGAAUUGUAUGGCCUCUCUGAGUCUUCUGUACUGAAUAAGUCAAAACUUUUAGCAACGGAUCUCUAGAUCGGAAGAG
This 240-nucleotide unclassified non-coding RNA is filed under the name soil metagenome. RNAcentral's name for it is "partial contains 5.8S ribosomal RNA, internal transcribed spacer 2, and large subunit ribosomal RNA". The record is from RNAcentral.